GAUGAACGCUGGCGGCGUGCCUAAUACAUGCAAGUCGAGCGAACGGACGAGAAGCUUGCUUCUCUGAUGUUAGCGGCGGACGGGUGAGUAACACGUGGAUAACCUACCUAUAAGACUGGGAUAACUUCGGGAAACCGGAGCUAAUACCGGAUAAUAUUUUGAACCGCAUGGUUCAAAAGUGAAAGACGGUCUUGCUGUCACUUAUAGAUGGAUCCGCGCUGCAUUAGCUAGUUGGUAAGGUAACGGCUUACCAAGGCAACGAUGCAUAGCCGACCUGAGAGGGUGAUCGGCCACACUGGAACUGAGCCCCGGUCCAGACGCCUGCGGGAGGCAGCAGGAGGGAAUCUGCCGCAAAGGGCGUAAGCCUGACAUAGCAACGUCGCGUGAGUGAUGAAGUGUGUCGGAUCGUAAAACUUUGUUAUCAGUGAAGAAAAUAUGUGUAAGGAACUGUGCACAUCUUGACGGUACCUAAGCAGAAAGCCACGGCUAACUACGUG
Molecule: ribosomal RNA, 497 nt
Filed under: uncultured bacterium
Lineage: Bacteria
Description: partial 16S ribosomal RNA
Rfam family: Bacterial small subunit ribosomal RNA
Source: RNAcentral